AUUGCGGGCCGGGCCCCUCUGACGAUCGCAUCGAUCGUGAUGUCGGACCGCAUCG
This is a regulatory RNA element of Sphingopyxis witflariensis, 55 nucleotides long. It matches the Rfam family "terC RNA". NCBI's taxonomy places the organism in Bacteria, Pseudomonadati, Pseudomonadota, Alphaproteobacteria, Sphingomonadales, Sphingopyxidaceae. The record is from Rfam.